This 1467-nucleotide unclassified non-coding RNA is filed under the name Hevea brasiliensis (rubber tree). The record is from RNAcentral. Lineage: Eukaryota; Viridiplantae; Streptophyta; Magnoliopsida; Malpighiales; Euphorbiaceae.
CUGUGUUCAUCGGGAGGAUAUGCUUGAAGUCAUUCAAUUGAGGAAAUCAUUCUUAGUCUUCUUAGAGCUUUUCGUUGUGAAGAUAGACUUUCUCAUACGAUAAAUAAGAAAUAGAUAAUUCCUAUUAAUGAAAUGAUUGAUCCAAUUGAAGAAACUAUAUUUCAGAUUAAGAAAGCGUCAGGGUAGUCUGAGUAACGACGAGGUAUCCCCCUAAGUCCUAGGAAAUGUUGUGGAAAAAAUGUUAAAUUUACUCCAAUAAAUAUAAUAAUAAAUUGAAUUUUUAAGAAAUAAUUGUUUAAUGUAACUCCGGUAAAGAGGGGGAAUCAUUGAAUAAUUCCUGCUAUAAUAGCAAAUACAGCCCCCAUAGAAAGAACAUAGUGAAAGUGAGCAACUACGUAGUAAGUAUCAUGAAGGAUAAUAUCAAUUGAAGAGUUAGCUAAGACUACUCCCGUUAAUCCUCCCACCGUGAAAAGAAAGACAAAUCCUAAGGCUCAUAUGGUUACUGGUCUAUUUAAAAUUUGUGUACCAUGAAAAGUUGCUAAUCAUCUAAAUACUUUAAUUCCAGUAGGGACUGCAAUAAUUAUAGUUGCAGAGGUAAAAUAGGCUCGUGUAUCUACAUCUAUUCCAAUAGUGAAUAUAUGAUGGGCUCAUACUACAAAUCCUAAUAAUCCAAUUGCUAUUAUAGCAUAAAUUAUUCCAAGAGUGCCAAAGGCUUCUUUUUUACCUCUUUCUUGUCUAAUAAUAUGAGAAAUUAUACCAAAUCCUGGUAAAAUUAAAAUAUAGACUUCUGGGUGGCCGAAGAAUCAAAAUAAGUGUUGAUAGAGAAUGGGGUCUCCCCCUCCUGCGGGGUCAAAGAAUGAAGUGUUUAAAUUUCGGUCUGUUAAUAAUAUAGUAAUAGCACCGGCUAAUACUGGGAGUGAUAGAAGGAGUAAAAUUGCUGUGAUUGUAACUGCCCAUGAGAAUAGGGGUAUUUGGUCUAUUUUUAUUCCUCUUGGUCGUAUAUUGAUUACAGUAGUAAUAAAAUUUACAGCUCCUAGAAUAGAGGAGAUUCCUGCUAAAUGAAGUCUAAAAAUGGCUAAGUCAACAGAUGAUCCUCUAUGGGCAAUGUUGCUGGCUAAUGGGGGGUAAACUGUUCACCCAGUACCUGCCCCCCUUUCGACUAGUCUUCUUAUUAAAAGGAGAAUUAAUGAGGGAGGUAGUAAUCAAAAUCUUAUAUUAUUUAUUCGUGGGAAAGCCAUAUCAGGGGCUCCUAAUAUUAGGGGAACAAGUCAGUUUCCGAAUCCCCCAAUUAUAAUUGGUAUAACUAUAAAAAAAAUUAUAAUGAAAGCAUGUGCAGUAACGAUUACGUUAUAAAUUUGAUCAUUUCCAAUUAGUGAUCCUGGGUUACCUAAUUCGGCUCGAAUUAAUAUUCUUAGUGAGGUACCUGCUAUUCCAGCUCAGGCCCCAAAAAUAAAGUAUAAUGUACCG